RNAcentral lists this ribosomal RNA (251 nucleotides) under uncultured prokaryote. RNAcentral describes it as "partial 16S rRNA". It matches the Rfam family "Bacterial small subunit ribosomal RNA", at positions 525 to 775 of the family's 1533-position model. The record is from RNAcentral.
ACGGAGGGUGCAAGCGUUAAUCGGAAUUACUGGGCGUAAAGCGCGCGCAGGCGGUUUGGUAAGUCAGAUGUGAAAUCCCCGGGCUCAACCUGAGAACUGCAAUUGAUACUGGCUAUCUUGAGUCUCGUAGAGGGUGGUAGAAUUUCUGGUGUAGCGGUGAAAUGCUUAGAUAUCACAAGGAACACCGAUUGCGAAGGCAGCCGCCUAGACGAAUACUGACGCUCAGGCGCGAAAGCGUGGGGAUCAAACAG